CCCAGCAGCUAAACACACCUGGUACAAGGAGAACCAAACUCUGCUCAGUGAAGAACCACAGCUUGUCUUCAGCUCCAUCCAGUCCUCUGACUCUGGAGAGUAUUACUGUGCAGCUGAGAACCAGCUGGGGAGGAAGACAACUAAAUACAUCAUUAAUGUGAAAUAUGCUCCAAAGCUUCCCUCUGUGUCAGUGAGUCCCUCUGCUGAGAUAGUGGAGGGCAGUUCAGUGACUCUGACCUGCAGCAGUGAUGCUAACCCAGCAGCUAAAUACACCUGGUACAAGGAGAAUCAAACACUGAUUCAGGGACCAGAGGACAUUUAUCAUUUCACCUCUAUCAGCUCUAAGGACAGCGGGAUCUACCACUGCAAGGUUGAGAAUGAGUAUGGCCAGAUCAACUCCACAUCUGUAUCCAUAGAUGUCCAGUAUGCUCCAAAGCUUCCCUCUGUGUCAGUGAGUCCCUCUGCUGAGAUAG
Long non-coding RNA from Micropterus salmoides (largemouth bass), 473 nucleotides. RefSeq lists it as uncharacterized. The transcript has 3 exons. The record is from RefSeq and is a predicted model, not a curated record. NCBI's taxonomy places the organism in Eukaryota, Metazoa, Chordata, Actinopteri, Centrarchiformes, Centrarchidae.